This 1454-nucleotide ribosomal RNA is filed under the name uncultured organism. Its description in RNAcentral is "16S ribosomal RNA". It matches the Rfam family "Bacterial small subunit ribosomal RNA". The record is from RNAcentral.
GAUGAACGCUGGCGGCAGGCCUAACACAUGCAAGUCGAGCGGUAGCACAGAGAGCUUGCUCUCGGGUGACGAGCGGCGGACGGGUGAGUAAUGUCUGGGAAACUGCCUGAUGGAGGGGGAUAACUACUGGAAACGGUAGCUAAUACCGCAUAAUGUCGCAAGACCAAAGUGGGGGACCUUCGGGCCUCAUGCCAUCAGAUGUGCCCAGAUGGGAUUAGCUAGUAGGUGGGGUAACGGCUCACCUAGGCGACGAUCCCUAGCUGGUCUGAGAGGAUGACCAGCCACACUGGAACUGAGACACGGUCCAGACUCCUACGGGAGGCAGCAGUGGGGAAUAUUGCACAAUGGGCGCAAGCCUGAUGCAGCCAUGCCGCGUGUGUGAAGAAGGCCUUCGGGUUGUAAAGCACUUUCAGCGGGGAGGAAGGCGAUAAGGUUAAUAACCUUGUCGAUUGACGUUACCCGCAGAAGAAGCACCGGCUAACUCCGUGCCAGCAGCCGCGGUAAUACGGGGGGUGCAAGCGUUAAUCGGAAUUACUGGGCGUAAAGCGCACGCAGGCGGUCUGUCAAGUCGGAUGUGAAAUCCCCGGGCUUAACCUGGGAACUGCAUUCGAAACUGGCAGGCUAGAGUCUUGUAGAGGGGGGUAGAAUUCCAGGUGUAGCGGUGAAAUGCGUAGAGAUCUGGAGGAAUACCGGUGGCGAAGGCGGCCCCCUGGACAAAGACUGACGCUCAGGUGCGAAAGCGUGGGGAGCAAACAGGAUUAGAUACCCUGGUAGUCCACGCCGUAAACGAUGUCGAUUUGGAGGUUGUGCCCUUGAGGCGUGGCUUCCGGAGCUAACGCGUUAAAUCGACCGCCUGGGGAGUACGGCCGCAAGGUUAAAACUCAAAUGAAUUGACGGGGGCCCGCACAAGCGGUGGAGCAUGUGGUUUAAUUCGAUGCAACGCGAAGAACCUUACCUGGUCUUGACAUCCACAGAACUUUCCAGAGAUGGAUUGGUGCCUUCGGGAACUGUGAGACAGGUGCUGCAUGGCUGUCGUCAGCUCGUGUUGUGAAAUGUUGGGUUAAGUCCCGCAACGAGCGCAACCCUUAUCCUUUGUUGCCAGCGGUUCGGCCGGGAACUCAAAGGAGACUGCCAGUGAUAAACUGGAGGAAGGUGGGGAUGACGUCAAGUCAUCAUGGCCCUUACGACCAGGGCUACACACGUGCUACAAUGGCAUAUACAAAGAGAAGCGACCUCGCGAGAGCAAGCGGACCUCAUAAAGUAUGUCGUAGUCCGGAUUGGAGUCUGCAACUCGACUCCAUGAAGUCGGAAUCGCUAGUAAUCGUAGAUCAGAAUGCUACGGUGAAUACGUUCCCGGGCCUUGUACACACCGCCCGUCACACCAUGGGAGUGGGUUGCAAAAGAAGUAGGUAGCUUAACCUUCGGGAGGGCGCUUACCACUUUGUGAUUCAUGA